GAAGAGAUGGGGGAAUCUUCAAGUGUUGACAAUUUAUCAUUAAAAUAUGAAUUAUUAAAGAUAUUUGACUUGUAAUGCACCAUAACUGAGUAGAGGCAAGCGAAAACUGCCUUGACUUGCCCUCAAACAACGCUUUCUAACUCUAAAUCUAUUUGGAGUAUAGAUAUCAUUCUUUCACCGUAAGAGACAGCAGGCUUUGGUGAACAGUCAUGGAAAUUUUCAGGUCUCUGUGGAAAUCCAUCAAAAAGAUAUGACGAGAGAAAAAAGUGGUUCAUUUCCAGAGUUUGAAAUCUGAAGAAAUCUGAGCGAAGGACGAAUUUCCUACCCUCAAACAAGUGUAACUCAUCUCAGAACGGUAAUAGGUGAGAAAAAAAUUCUUGAAUUGUGAGCGUCAGGAGUGUCUGAAGAUAUACUGGGACAAGCCUCAUGUUUUAACUUCGCUUCGUUAAGGAUAUAUGACGAUUCGAAUAUGCCUCUCAUUACAGAAAUCAAGCGGUGAUUUUGAACAAACUCUCCAUUGACUUUCUAUGGAGAGUUUUCAGACUUCGUGUUGGUCUGAGGAAAUUUGCCAAAAUUCUAUAAAUCUCACAACAAUGAUUGUGACAUUUUC
Oreochromis aureus is the source of this 610-nucleotide long non-coding RNA. Lineage: Eukaryota; Metazoa; Chordata; Actinopteri; Cichliformes; Cichlidae. The record is from Ensembl.